GAACUACUGAAGGGAUGAACAAAGAUAAUCUUGUACUUUGCGAUUGGUUUUGGAACACCAUGUUCCUUGUAGGCCAAAAAUCUUCCAUCCCUUAGCCUUAUUCUAGGCGCUGUUAUGGGUGGACCGCCAGGCGAACCACAGAUGGUCGGAGGUGGGGGUCGGGCGGCCUGAUAUGCCCACGCCAGCAAUCCAACCAACAAGAUGAAUGUGAUCCUCUUAAACAUGUUUGAGAAGAUGAAGUAUGAAACUUUGCCCAACUGCAGUAAAGAAGCAAAUACAAAAGUAAAUUACACUUGAGGACAUUAUAUAAUAAGUUUUAAGAUAAUUUUUUAUUCAGGUCCAAAAUUAUAAGUUGUUUUUUGGAACGAGUCGAGUAAUCUAAUUACAUAUUUUUGUACCAAUUUUACCCUUUUAGAUAAAAAUAUUUAUAUUCUUUAACUAGAGAGUACAAUUCCUAACUAGCAGGUAUUUUACCAAAAUAGGAAAUUGAUAUACGUAGCAGAUAGUCUAGAAAAAUAUAUUCUAUGUAAUUUAUAUACUCAUUACUCUAUUUAUCACCGUAAAAUGAGUUUAAAUUUCAAGAUAUGCAAGGGCGGAGCGAAGUACAAGGCUACCCUUGUAAGAUCCCACAUCGCGCCCAGGGGUGUGGAUCAUGUAAGCCUUAUAUGUAUAUUCUCAUCUCUACCUAGCACAAGGCCUUUUGGGAGGUCACUGGCUUUGGUUUCCAUCAGAACUUCGAAGUUAAGCAAGUUCGCGCGAGAGCAAUCCUAGGAUAGGUGACCCACUGGGAAGUUCUCAUGUGAGUUCCCAGAAACAAAACCGUGAGGGCGUGGUCGGAGCCUAAAGCGAACAAUAUCAUGCUACGAUGAAGUCGAACCUGGGAUAUGAUAAGGGCCCGGACUGGGAUAUGACAACCCUGAGCCUGGGCUAUAGCCGAGGUAGCUCUUGUGGGUACAAACCAAGUAUUCCCUAUAUUUCAUUUAUUUUUAUAUUCAUCUCACUAUUAGCUCAUGUAUUUAUUUUAUUUAUUUACUUCAUUAACCAAUACUAUUUAUUUCCUAACAAAAUCUAUUUUAUAGUUCAUAUGCUAUCCAUUUAUGGUUAAUCGUGACAAUAAUUACUUACUCUAAUAACGCUUUUAAUUCUUUUCAAAAGUAACUCGUUGCAUGUUUUAGUUUUUGAAUUAUUUUAUGCAUGACUUUUUUCUAUUUAAAAAAGUUUUACAACGUGUUAACCUUUUUCUAUUUAUUUAUGUAUAUAUUUGCCAUAUUAAAGGUUGAUGAACAUAGAAUAAUUGGACGAGCUUUGCUUAUAACAUUAACGUAUAGUCAUUUUUCAAAAAACAAACAUUUUUUAAUACUUCUUGGCUAGCUCCGCCUUUGAAGAUAUGUGGAGUGGACAAACACUGACUUUAAAAUUUAAAUUCACAUGUGAGCAUUAUCACCACUUGACGAUAGUAAGCAAAAAUGCACCCGAAAAAAAAUUAUGAAGAUAAACCCAGCCGUGAGAGGUAGAUGAGGAAGAGAUUUAAUUCCUAAUUACUGAACUUACUUCAAUAAGGAAAUUAUUCUUAAUAAUAAUUAGAUUUAUAUUAAGUUUUCUCGAGUUUUUUAAUUUGGUAUUUCCCCUCAAUUGAAAAUGGUUAUUCAAAUUAGACAACCAGAAAAAUUUAGACUUUUAUCGAAAUAAUAUUCUAAAAUCUAAAUUACAGAAGACGGAUUCUAAUAUUUAAGAGAAGUCUUACUUGAUAUGCACUCCAUUGUUAAACCAAAAUUACAAGAAAGGAAAUCAUAAAAAAUCAUACUUGCUAAUGUGGUUUUUGGGUAAAAACUUACCACCGACCCUCCGCUCCUCCGUCUGUGACAAUAAUUUGUUUAUGCAGAAGAAAAUGGCAGAAAUAGGCUGAGUGAGCAGCUGCUUUUAGCUUUUGUGUGGUGAUGAAGCUGCCGUGUUUGGUGUCUCUUUGCUGCUCAUUUUUUUAAUACCAGUUAAUUUUUGCUCCUUUCUUAACCAAAGUCAAUUUUUUCAAAAUUGGAAAAGAACAUUUAAUAUUAAAGUUAACCAGUUACUUAGUAUCAUAAUCUAGUAGUAUUCAUUUUUAUUUAUAAGUGAGAGGUCUUAGGUUUAAUUUUCGCCAAAAAUGAAUUUGUACCAAAUUAUUGCUAACUCAUUGUGAGACUAAAGAUGGUGUAUUCAAUUAGGAUUUUGAGGGAUUUUAAUUUUUUUAAUGAAUCUAGGGGUAUUCAAUUAGGAUUUUAAAUGAUUAUAUGAAAUUCAAUGUGUAUUCAAUCAGGAUUUUAAGAUAGUUUAUUAAAAUCCUUAGAAAUUCGGGUGUAUUGAAUUAGAAUUUUAAAGAAGUUUAUAACAUUCCAAGUGUAUUCAAUUCGAAUUUGAAUUUAAAGAAUUUGGAAAAGUUAGGAAUUAUAGGGAAUUAGAGAGAUUUUGUAGUGUAUUUUAAGCAUCCAUAAAUCUCACAUAUUCUAUGAGAUUUCGAAGGAAUUAAAUCAAAAUUUUACAUUGAAUCUUUACAAAUCAGUUAAACUCCAUAAAAAUCCAUGGAUUUAUAAAUCCAUUAAAAUCUCUCAAAUUCCCAAUUGAAUACACCCCCAUAAGUCCAUCCCCUUCCCUUUCCAUUUAAGGGGUGUAUUCAAUUGGGAAUUUGAGAGAUUUUAAUGGAUUUAUAAAUCCAUGGAUUUUUAUUGAGUUCAACUGAUUUGUAGAGAUUUUAUGUAAAAUUUUGAUUCAAUUCCCUCGAAAUCUCAUGGGAAAAUGUGAGAUUUGUGAAUGCUUAAAAUACACUACAAAAUCUCUCCAAUUCCCUCUAAUUCCUCAACUUCUCCAAAUUCUCUAAAUUCUAAUUCUAAUUGAAUACACCUAAAAUGUUAUAAACUUUUUUAAAAUUCUAAUUGAAUACACUCGGAUUUCUAAGGAUUUUAAUCAAGUAUUUUAAAAUCCUGAUUGAAUACACAUUGAAUUUCAGAUAAUCACUUAAAAUCCUGAUUGAAUACCCCUAGAUUCAUUAAAAUAAUUAAAAUCCCUCAAAAUCUCACACUCCCUUAGUGUAGAUAAUAUCGUUUGUUAAAAAAAAUUAAAGUUAAUCAGAAUUAGUUAAAAUGACAUGUGUCAGAUGAUAAAGAGUAUUGGUGGUGAGUAAAAGUGUUCACGUUAUUGUUAAAUUACGUGAAGGCCCCCACCUUCACCUAUUUUAACGCUCGUUUGUUGUCUAGGACUGACUUGGCUUAGGUCACCUGCUGACUUUAAUGAAUAUCAAAUAGAAAUAUGGACCAGAUUGCAUAUUUUGUCAAAGUGACGACCGAAGAUGGCAAAGUCAAGAAAAAAACUUGGUCAAUUUAAAUUUAAAUUUUUUAUAAAGAUUAGUAGGAUUAAGGUUUGUUAAUAAUUUUAAUGAGUUAUUUGUCUAUUAUCUCCUCCCCAAGCUUGUAAACAGUUUCUAAUUUUUGUAUGAAUUUUAAUUUUAGUUGAUUAUUUGCUUGAACUUUUAUAAUAACCAAUUUUUAAUCCUAAGAUUAGAUAUUGGAAUUUUUCAUUCAAAACAAAUGUUUGAGACCAAUAAAGUAAUUUUAUUAUUAAUGUGGAUUUCAAAUUGCUUAUUUUUUUUUACCCUUCUCUCUUCCUUUAGUGGACUCCGAACACUUUCUGUUUGAAUCAGUCAUGAGAGUCCAAUAAGCAGCUCUAAUGUAUUGGCUUUCCACUCAAUUUACCAAAAAAAUUUACCUUUUUACCGUCAUACAGUUGUCAUAUAUUGUUUGCAUGACCAUGAUGAAUGAAAAAAAAUUCAAAACCUAAUUGGGAAAAUUUGUUUAUUUAUAAAAGUUUAAAAAUGUAAUCAGCUAAAAUUAAAGUAAAAAAAAAUAUUUAACAACUUUGUAAAAGUUUGGAGAGCAAAUCAAGAAACAUGUCAAUUUCAAUCAAUUAAAAUGAUAGGUGAACAAUUAAAAAAAAAGAAAAAGAAAGAGAAAAUUGGGAAGUUGGUCACGUGGGAAAUGGAAAAAGAACGUUUUUCUUCAAAAUGGGGAGCUGGUCACAUGGGAAGUGUAGAGAUAAUGUUUUUCUUCUUCAUUGGAACUAGGUCCAAGAACAGGAGAAUCAUGGCGGUAUUCUCUGUGUUCCUUUUCGUCUGAAAUUAGAUACUUCUUCUCAACCCUGAAAAUGGAUUGUUGAAGUAAGCUCGGGACUCUUUUGUUCCACAACACCGUAUUCCUUCUCAGGCCUAUUCAAAUGGUUGUAUGGAUAAUGCUUUUAGGCUAAACCGAAGAAUUGGUUUGAAAUGAUUAUCCGAGUUGCUCGCAGUUUGACAGUUUCUGAUGCUUGUUUCAUGCAUUUGUAACUUAUUUUUUGUUCUUUAUUCCAAUUAUGGUCUUUCUAUUCAUUGUCUUUGACACAAUAAUGAAUAAAUUUUCUUUUGUUCAUUCGAAAGUACGGCAUUGCAUCUUUCACUUCUAGCAGGAAUUAGAAAUGGAAGAUUGAUAGAUUUCACUAAAAAUGAUAGCUAGCAGUUGGUACAAGAUUGAUAGAUUUCACUAAAAAUGAUACCUAGCAGUUAGUACAAGCCGGAAAAUGGUGAUCAGUAGAAGAACUAACAGAGUGGCGCUGGCAUGUACAAAGUUUGAUUUUAGUCUCUGUAAUAUAUUUUUUUUAAUUACUAUUAACGGGAGGGGGAGGUUCAAAACUAUUCCAAUAAUUUGAGGGAGAGGGGGUUUCGAGCCCUGGACGCAUAGGUGGAAAUUCAACGUCCUAUUACUAGGAUAUAUUGGACCACAUGCAGGUAUUACAUGGGUGGAAAUUCUAACCCCUUGUCCCUGUAGUAGUUUCAAUUGUCGCGUUUCUAAAGAGAUGCUUUACCUUCCGGGUGUUACAUUUGCACGAAUCACAUUGCAUCUGUCAUUUGUGUAGUUCCAACUUUGCAGUUCGUUCACCUGCCAGGUACGAGUUCGCUGGAUGUAACCAUAAAAAUGGCCUGCGAUAUGGAACAUCAUACAACUAAUUUCGAAUCGACUCUUCAUUAUUUCCUCUAUUUGAAUUGUAACAUUACAAAGAUUUGUCUUGGAACAUAAUUAGUAUAUAAUGUAGCAUCUCUGAGAGAGCUGCCCUGUAUCGACGACGUCAAUGGUCUACUCUUUAAUUAGAAGUGCCUUUAAGAUGACUUCACUCAUACCAUCUGCAGCUGGCAACAAAUGUCCACCACCUGGUAACUCAUGGUAGUGAAUCCAUGGAAGCUUUCCUGCAAUAUAGCGUUGCAGCUCAACUGAGACAAACUUAUCUUCAUCACCCUGCCAUAAAUGGACCGAGCCUUCGUUGUUGACAAAAGGGUUCUUCAGAUCCGUAGGAUCAAAUUCCCAGCUCCCAAAUCCAACUAUGAUGUCGCGAAAGAUGGACUCAGCUUCUCCUUGCUGUGUGGCAUGUUCCUGCCCAAACAAAUAACAAAACAAACAAAAAUCAUCAACGCUGCCGAGUUUCUAUAAAAUCGUAAACAAUUAGCGAUCGAAUAAGGAAAGUACCUUGUGCUUUUCUCUUCCAGAAACCUUUGCAUUCCUAAUGGUUUCCCAAUCUUGGCGGGAAAGCAGAUUCUCUACUUUCCCGGAUAAAACGCUGUGUUUAGGAAAGAAAUUCUGAGUGUUCCACCAGUAGGUUAACCAAGGUAUAUAGUGAGCAGCUCGAAGCGCCCAUUGAUCCUGUGGAGCUUGCUUCUUAUAGGCAUAAGAUGACAGGUUGGCAGGAAGUCCUGGCCACCAGUAGUUGAUCGCAGGAGCGAUCAGUGCUGCUCCAGCUAGCCUGUUGUAACAGGCAUCCCAAACAUAUCGAACUUUAGAGAGAAAUUUCAGUAUCGAACGAUGCAUCAUCAGGUAACGAGGCUGCUUGCAAAAUCUUACCUAUGAGGGAUGUACUGAAGACACUUCCAGAUGACCUGUCCUCCCAUUGAGUAUCCAAUCACAUAAAAUUUGGAUCCGAGUUCCAGCUGAUCACCAAGCUCCUCUAUAUCUAACGCCAAGCUCUUCGUUGUUCGCUUAGGAUCUGGAUCACUUUCACCGUGCCCUGGUCUGUCGAAAGACACAAUGUACACACCUAAAUCUUCAAUAACUUCCUGAGGAAAGAAAAAAAAAACACCCACCACGAAAUCAACCAAUAAAGAGUUGAACUGAAAAAUGGCAAAGAAUCAAGCAGGGCAGUACCGGAGAGACGGCUGUUGCAAUGAUUGGAUCAUGUCGGGGACUAAAGAAGGGAUGAACAAAGAUAAUCUUGUACUUGGCCACUUGUUUUGGAACACCAUGUUCCUUGUAGGCCAAAUAUCUUCCAUCCCUUAGCCUUAUUCUAGGUGCUGUGACGGGUGGACCGCCAGGCGAACCACAGAUGUUCGGAGGUGGUGGUCGGGCGGCCUGAUAUGCCCACGCCAGCAAUCCAACCAACAAGAUGAAUGUGAUCCUCUUAAACAUGUUUGAGAAAAUGGAAAGUAUGAAACUUUGCUCACCUGCAGUAA
RNAcentral lists this long non-coding RNA (6496 nucleotides) under Malus domestica (apple). Lineage: Eukaryota; Viridiplantae; Streptophyta; Magnoliopsida; Rosales; Rosaceae. The record is from RNAcentral.